Lycium barbarum (goji berry) is the source of this 775-nucleotide long non-coding RNA. RefSeq lists it as uncharacterized. NCBI's taxonomy places the organism in Eukaryota, Viridiplantae, Streptophyta, Magnoliopsida, Solanales, Solanaceae. The record is from RefSeq and is a predicted model, not a curated record. The transcript has 3 exons.
UUUAUAAAUUUUACUUGGUGUAAAAAUAUUAAUGGAAGUUGGGAUUAAUUUACCAUGAUUAGAUUAUUAAGUGGGGAUUAAAAAUUUAAUUAGUCAUUAAACAAGUCACUAGUGCACUAAGUGGGCCCCACCAAGACAUGUGACCAAAUUUAAUUGGCUCAAGCCUUGAGUGGGACACUUGUCACUCUUAGGGGCUGCCUAUAUAAGGAAAAAUCUGAUGUUUAAGUGUUCAUUUUAUCAUCUUCAACAUUACAAGAAAAGAGAAAAACCUAGAGAUAGAGAAGGGGGGCUCACGGCCAUGGUGAAAAAAAUCCAUGUUCACCAAGCUUGGUCCAAUUAAUUUUUCCAUGGUGUUGUAAAUCAAAUGGAGGUCUUUGGGAACAUGAAUUGGUCCUUGAGAGCAGCAAGAAUGGUCUUUAAUUGAAGCCAUUAAAUUCAGCAAAUUAAGGAGCAACUUGCUAAGACCUUGGGCAGCCCGAAUCAUAGGUUGGAUUUAGCUUGAGUUUGGAUCGUAUUGGAGAGCGUUUGAGGUACAGACGCACAGCCUGGUGAUCCACCUGUUUAGGACACCCUUUCUGCUAUUCGGAGUGCUCCUCUCUUUCCGGAGCUUAUACUUUUGGUAUAUAUAUUUAUUAGUGCAUUUGUAUAUAUUCGUUCAUGGGUACGGCGGGGCCCUGUCCCGUCAUACGAUUCUGUCGGUCUGUUUAGAGGUCUGUGGACAUGUUUGUGGGUUAGGGUCUUUCUGUAUGGAUGUAUGUACAUGUCGUUUGGGCGA